Molecule: ribosomal RNA, 233 nt
Filed under: uncultured bacterium
Lineage: Bacteria
Description: partial 16S ribosomal RNA
Rfam family: Bacterial small subunit ribosomal RNA
Source: RNAcentral
CGGGACGGGUGAGUAAUGUCUGGGAAACUGCCUGAUGGAGGGGGAUAACUACUGGAAACGGUAGCUAAUACCGCAUAACGUCGCAAGACCAAAGAGGGGGGCCUUCGGGCCUCUUGCCAUCGGAUGUGCCCAGAUGGGAUUAGCUAGUAGGUGGGGUAACGGCUCACCUAGGCGACGAUCCCUAGCUGGUCUGAGAGGAUGACCAGCCGCACUGGAACUGAGACACGGUCCAG